AUAUUUGCCUUUCUGUUCAUGGCUUACUUCACUUAACAUAAUGUCCUCUAGAUUCAUCUGUGUUGUCCCAAAUGACAGACUUGCUUUCUUUUUCCAGGCUGAGUAAUACUCCUUUGUUUCUUUACUGGAAGGGAUAUCAGAUACUCUAAUCCCAUAAUGCCUCAGGGGAACCAGAGUGGUGGAAACAUUAAAUGGUAUGUCUGAUGAGAAGCUGUGCUUUACAUGAAUCAUUGACUAAAAAAAGAACAGGAACAUAAAUUCUGAAGCAUGCAUGAAUGGUAAGCUGUAAAAAACGGCCGUCAGUUUUCCUUGGAAAAUAGGCACUUAAUAUCAAUAUUUGGAAAUCAUUACUGCUUGAAUAUCAUUGGUAUAGACCUGCCAACAUUAAAAUUACCUGGUACAUUUGAUUAAUGGUGUAGAUUGAGAAGUGCACAUGGAGAAAUAACUGUGCCAUAAUUUUGGGAAAGGUUGCCUUAAAUCGCAAUCAGAAAAAAAUCACCCAUGAGACAAUAUAUAAUAAUGACCCUUAAGAAACAGCUAAUAAAAUUAUGAAAAUGCCAUGCAGGGU
Sapajus apella (tufted capuchin) is the source of this 568-nucleotide long non-coding RNA. RefSeq lists it as uncharacterized. NCBI's taxonomy places the organism in Eukaryota, Metazoa, Chordata, Mammalia, Primates, Cebidae. The record is from RefSeq and is a predicted model, not a curated record. The transcript is spliced from 2 exons.